CGAGCACGCGCGUGUGGCAUAUCAAUAAGCGGAGGAAAAGAAACUAACAAGGAUUCCCUUAGUAACGGCGAGUGAAGCGGGAAGAGCUCAAAUUUGAAAUCUUCAAGGUUCUACCUUGACGAAUUGUAGUUUAUAGAAGUGUUUUCUGUUAGUGGAGUGGCAAAAGUUCUUUGGAAUAGGACAUCAUAGAGGGUGAGAAUCCCGUAUUUGGUCAUUCCUCCUAGCGUUGUGAUACACUUUCAACGAGUCGGAUUGUUUGGGAAUGCAGUCCAAAAUGGGUGGUAAAUUUCAUCUAAAGCUAAAUAUUGGCGAGAGACCGAUAGCGAACAAGUACCGUGAGGGAAAGAUGAAAAGAACUUUGAAAAGAGAGUUAAACAGUACGUGAAAUUGUCAAAAGGGAAGCGUUUGACACCAGUGUUGUUUUUCCGAAAUCAAUUACGAAUGUUUUGUUUUUGAGGAGUUAUGACUUCAUCGGCUUGCUCCUUUCUUUACUGAAACUUUCUUAAUGCACUUUUCGGUUAACAAGUCAACAUCAAUUUCUUUUGUUGUAAAAGGGUAUGAGGAAGGUGGCUUUCUUUUCGGAGAAAGUGUUUAUAGCCUUGUGCCUCUGCAAUCGGAGAGAUUGAGGUCUGCAGCGUAGAUCCUUCGGGGUUAGAUACGUUUGUGCUAAGUUAUAGCUUUUCAUAGACAACUUGUUGACUAUGUUUAGUCUUGUAGCUUACUCGCUUAUGCUAUUUUACCUACGCUUAGGAUGUUGAGUAGCGACAUACGCAC
RNAcentral lists this ribosomal RNA (774 nucleotides) under uncultured Neocallimastigales. RNAcentral's name for it is "partial large subunit ribosomal RNA". It matches the Rfam family "Eukaryotic large subunit ribosomal RNA", at positions 19 to 649 of the family's 3401-position model. The record is from RNAcentral. Lineage: Eukaryota; Fungi; Neocallimastigomycota; Neocallimastigomycetes; Neocallimastigales.